This is a non-coding RNA of Odocoileus virginianus texanus, 953 nucleotides long. NCBI's taxonomy places the organism in Eukaryota, Metazoa, Chordata, Mammalia, Artiodactyla, Cervidae. The record is from RefSeq and is a predicted model, not a curated record.
AGGCCGAGUUGCCAGUGGGCACUCCACUCUCCUCCCCUCGCCCUGCCCUGUGGUUGGCUAUUUUGGGCUGCAGAGGGAAAGGGCCGAGCUUGCCAGGGCCUCCCGGGCCAGAAUCAAGGCUAGGGAACCAGAACCUCCCUCUGGGAACCAAGAGCGGGCUGCUCAUCAGGAACCCCUCCAACUGCAUAUUCUCUGAUACAAACAACUGAGAUUUUCCCUUAUGCGGGGAGAAAAAAAAAAAGUUUAGAAAACUGUAAAUAUCACCAGAUCAAAAGGGCAAUGGAUAUAAAAACAGUAGCUUUAAGAAAAGCUCCCCUAGGUUCCUUCUAGUCUCAUGACUACCCCUAGCAGUCCCCACCUCUUUAGGAAUUCUGGGCUGCCACUGCCCCAGAUCAGCUUCCGCCUUCCCCUCCUAAUACAGCUUUUCUUUCAGGGGUAAUCACAGCCACCAUUAUUAGCAUUUGCUCUGUUCCAGGCACUGGGCAAAAGGCCUUACCUACAUCAACUCUCUCCAUCUUUCAAACAACUCUGUGAGGUUCUCAGGAAAUGUUAGCUGUGACGCACACCUACCAAACUACUGCUGCAUCAAGCCCCUAACCACUCUCCCCAAACCACACCUGGUCCUCUCUCGCUCUUGUCUCAGCCUACAAUGACUUUGUGCUGCUGGUAGACUCCUGUUUGUUCCAGAAAGCCACCCCUCACCUGUCUCCUUCUCUGUGAAGGAGACUGUCCAAACAGAACCCGCUGCUUCAUCCUCUCAGCUUCUCUGACGCCUGCAGAUGCCUCAGCUACAGCCCACCCCUAGGCCAUCAAGAGGCCAAAUUUGCCCGCAUACCCAUCUUCCCCUAUUGUCUGAAGGCUAUUCUACUUCUCUCUGCAUCCCCAAUGCCUAAGAGGCCCAGCAGGUGUGUGCCGAACUAAGGAGAGAGUACGUCUGAGGAUGGGAGCGUGAG